GUGUCAGCCGCCGCGGUAAUACGGAGGGUGCAAGCGUUAUCCGGAUUCACUGGGUUUAAAGGGUGCGUAGGCGGAUUGAUAAGUCAGUGGUGAAAUCCCCGAGCUUAACUUGGGAACUGCCAUUGAUACUAUUGGUCUUGAAUACCGUGGAGGUCGACGGAAUAUGUCAUGUAGCGGUGAAAUGCUUAGAUAUGACAUAGAACACCAAUUGCGAAGGCAGUUGACUACGCGAGUAUUGACGCUGAGGCACGAAAGCGUGGGGAUCAAACAGGAUUAGAUACCCCCGUAGUCC
RNAcentral lists this ribosomal RNA (292 nucleotides) under uncultured bacterium. Its description in RNAcentral is "partial 16S ribosomal RNA". It matches the Rfam family "Bacterial small subunit ribosomal RNA", at positions 505 to 796 of the family's 1533-position model. The record is from RNAcentral.